Long non-coding RNA from Passer domesticus (house sparrow), 333 nucleotides. RefSeq lists it as uncharacterized. The transcript is spliced from 3 exons. Lineage: Eukaryota; Metazoa; Chordata; Aves; Passeriformes; Passeridae. The record is from RefSeq and is a predicted model, not a curated record.
ACCCUGUUCAGGUACCUGGUGACCAAGCUGGAAAUCAGAGCAAAAGGUUGGCAUGUCUUUGGAAGGCAGUGGUAUGAUCUGCACAUCUGACACGAGCACAACGGACUUACAGGAAGCAAGCUAGCAGUGAAUUAAUGUUUUCGUAGAAGUGUCUGUCAUCGCCCAAGAACUCUAUCCUGAGGGGAAAAACUAAUUCAGAACCCAUCACUGUAUAUGUAAAGGAUGCUGAGUCUGCCAUACAAGCCAUACAAGGGACCUCUUACUCACCUUUUGAAUGAAGUACAAGGGUAAGUCAAGAGUAAGAAGCUUCCCACAAUUUCUCCAUGCUCAUAU